UACAGAGGGUGCAAGCGUUAAUCGGAAUUACUGGGCGUAAAGCGUGCGCAGACGGUUGCGUAAGUCAGAUGUGAAAGCCCCGGGCUCAACCUGGGAAUUGCAUUUGGGACUGCAAGGCUGGAGUGUGGCAGAGGAGACUGGAAUUCCUGGUGUAGCAGUGAAAUGCGUAGAUAUCAGGAGGAAUACCGAUGGCGAAGGCAGGUCUCUGGGCUGACACUGACGCUCAUGCACGAAAGCGUGGGGAGCAAACAGG
RNAcentral lists this ribosomal RNA (253 nucleotides) under uncultured bacterium. RNAcentral describes it as "partial 16S ribosomal RNA". It matches the Rfam family "Bacterial small subunit ribosomal RNA", at positions 524 to 776 of the family's 1533-position model. The record is from RNAcentral.